Molecule: transfer RNA, 78 nt
Filed under: Thermoplasmata archaeon
Lineage: Archaea; Methanobacteriati; Thermoplasmatota; Thermoplasmata
Also listed under: 1 other name
Description: tRNA-Met
Rfam family: tRNA
About the family: Transfer RNA (tRNA) molecules are approximately 80 nucleotides in length. Their secondary structure includes four short double-helical elements and three loops (D, anti-codon, and T loops). Further hydrogen bonds mediate the characteristic L-shaped molecular structure. tRNAs have two regions of fundamental functional importance: the anti-codon, which is responsible for specific mRNA codon recognition, and the 3' end, to which the tRNAs corresponding amino acid is attached (by aminoacyl-tRNA synthetases). tRNAs cope with the degeneracy of the genetic code in two manners: having more than one tRNA (with a specific anti-codon) for a particular amino acid; and 'wobble' base-pairing, i.e. permitting non-standard base-pairing at the 3rd anti-codon position.
Source: RNAcentral
AGCGGGGUGGGGUAGCCAGGAAAUCCCGACGGGCUCAUAACCCGUAGAUCAGUGGUUCAAAUCCACUCCCCGCUACCA